Molecule: long non-coding RNA, 3991 nt
Filed under: Capsicum annuum
Lineage: Eukaryota; Viridiplantae; Streptophyta; Magnoliopsida; Solanales; Solanaceae
Description: long non-coding RNA (CANN_LNC010601)
Source: RNAcentral
AAUAGGGUGACCCUUUUUGAGCCAAAGGUUCAGGCCUAACAAUUUUGAAGAAAAUAUAUGCUUUCUUAAAGUCAAUACAUUAUCCCCCAACUUAUAUAAACACGAAAAGGGAAUAAAUGCCUACAAAAUAUAAUGAAAGAGGAAUACAAUCUUUAGGGAAAAAAAGGGAAAAAACAUGAAAGAGGAUAAGUUCCUGCACAGGGGAAAUAGAUAAACUAGCUACUGGAGGCCCCUUCGUCUGCCUUUGCCUUCUUUGCCUCGUCCACUUCUUUUAUUGGUGACAUCUAUUGACGUUCAAACUGUGCCUUAGAUGCAAUCUCCCAAAUCGAUCAAUUUCUUGCUUAUCUUGCUUCAAUUCUUCUUACAAAAGUAAACAAAUCAAGCUUUUUCCCGACACCUAAAGGAUAAUGGAUUAAAUUUAGACAAGCAUGUAUUUUUUUCAAUACAUAAAUAUGAUUCGUCUGUAAUUAACUCGAGGUUAAUAGAUGCAGGGCAGGUUUUCUAAUGGGCCCAAUACCCCGCUCGGGUAAUGGGUUGUCCUAGGCUCAUGCCUAAAAUAGGAUUUUGGUUUCGUUCUAUCCUUGGUGUCUAGAGUGGGUUUGAACACCAGUUCUCAAGCGGACAACUUGAGUUUGGAAAUACAAACAGCCAUCAGACAACUCACGCGCUUAUAAACUGUUUGUAUUUCCAACACAGUUUUGGAAUUGAUCAAUAGGGGUUAGGAUACCCACGAAACCCCAAAACAAUUUAAAUAAUGUAGGAAUAUGCCAUAAGAUGCGAUAGUUAAACUUUACAAAAUCAAAACAUAUAAACACAUAAACAGUUAAUCAAAUAAAGAAAUCAAACAAUUGGUUAGAACCUAUUUCAAAAAUCCCCAGCAGAGUCGCCAUUUCUGUUUUGCGGAGAAAUUGACUUUUUGAGAAGAGUCGCCACUUAAUUUUGAAAAGGAAUUAAGAAACCUUUAUAAAGUACUUCAAACGAUUCAAAAUAGGAAAAUCAUUUUAAGUUAGAGAUUCUAGAUAAGCGGUAAUUCUUAACGUUUUAGGAAGGUGUUAGACACCUAAAACGUCCGCUAACUUGCGGUUAUCCGAACUGUUUGAAAACAUCUUUGAUUAACUUUCUAAAAUUUGAUUUAUUGAAAAAUGGUUGAAUUUUAGAAAUACUUUGAAAGUUUGCAAAAGUUAAUUUUUAGUGAAUUCAGUACGGGAUUUGACUAGGUUCGCAAAAAGGCAUGCAAAACAAAUAAUCAAAAAGAAAGGGGAAGGGAGGAGAAGUAGUGAUUUAGGCUUUGAAGCCCAAAUCGCUAAACCUGUCCUAAUCUAGUUGGGUUUUCAAUCCAUUUCUCUUUUCAGUUGUCUUAAUUCUAUGUUUUUGAGCCUUUAGCUCGAGUUUUGCCUCCAGCUGUAUUAAAUACUACUUUGACUUCGAGGCCCGAAUGAAUAAAUGAGAAAAUAGAUAAAUAAAUAAACAAAGACGACGAAAUAACAAAUGAAAUUUUUGGGUCUGGUAGCUACUUCAAAUGGGUUUAAUCCUUCUUAUUUUUUUCUUUGACUCCUUGUGAUCGUACUAAUGGGCGUUCAAAGUCUUCUAAACUGGUGGGCCUCAACGGCCCAUUGCAAAAAUAUGGAAGGAAGGAGUCCAUUAAGACUCAGAGAAUAAAUUCACAUGCAACAGGGAAAAAAGAGGAAAUUAACACAUAUCUGGAAUGCAAAGACAGAAGUAAAGAACUUAACCUAUGUUCGAAAGCUGACACCUAAUGAAUGACUAACUAAAAAAGACAUGGGACGGCAUUAUGGCAUAUAAUAAAAUUCACAUUAGUCUAAUCUCUAUGUUUUCAUUUGAGAACAACUAAUAUGUUGCUAUGAGAAUCUUUUGGCGACCUCAGAUGCUACAAGAAAUAUGUCGUUCCAAGGUUCAGGAAGCUAAAGAAAAAUAGAACCAUAUAGUUCACUCCACGUCUUUAGUAAAUGAAGCAAACAACUUGUAAUUCAAACAUUACACAAGAAAAGUCCGCAUAAAGUAAGAAUAAAAUAUGAAUGAAUCAAUUCGACAAGGAUUGUACAUGGAUCGAAUCUCACUAGGCUAGCAUGUGAAUUACUAGAAAUAAACAAGCGUGUUAUUCCAGAAAUAGGGGAGAAGAGAACAAUGAUAACCAAACUCACAAGUGUAUCCCAGGGAGGUAAACCAAUUGGGUGUCAUACUUUUUUGGAGUUAAAAAAAAAACUUGCUUAACUAAAAUUUACACAUUUUUAUUUAUGCAUUGUACAAACAUGACAACAAAAUUCUCAGAAAGGACUAAAUCAGACUGCUAGAUGAGAUACGUGAGACAAAUCAAGUUUUGACAGACAACGGCCUUAAUUCCAAACCCCAGAAGAUUUUCGAACAUAUUACUUAGGUGGAAAAAUUAAAAUAUAGGAGUUUAGACAUCACGGAAGAAUGAAAAGAACUUCUAUUAUCAAAACAUUCACUGGAUAUUCAAUUUAUUAAAGGAUAUCACAUUCUUGAGAAAAGAAAUCAGAGAAAGGAAAACUACUCAAAAUGGACAUUUUAAAGGAUCAUCUUGACAUCUUUGGAGGGUAAACCUACCUCUUCUUUUGACAUUAGCCAUUAAAGACAACAUGAUGAAGAGUUUAUCUUGUUGAAACAAUGAAAACACAGGAUGGACCAAACAUGCGUAAGACUCCAAACAUUUUCUACAAAAGAAAAAUCAAAGAGGACAUGAAAUCUGCACUGCCAGGCCACGAUAUCGAAUGGAUAACUACUAACGGUACAUGAACAAAAUUGUAUCAAGGAAAGACCAAACAACUAGGAAUGACACAACAUCAAAAACGUAAAUUGCCAACUUCCAUCAAUAUGCAGUUUUCUAACCCAUAUAGUCAAACAAAUAGGGACAUAAAACUCAACCCAACAGGUUUUGAUUAAAAUUUAAACAUGCAGUCAAUAAACAUUCUUUUCUUCCUUAGCCGACACAGCUCACAUAUAAUACAAAAUACAGCUGAAAUUACUUGAAUAUCACAACGUGAACAUCAUCACAACCAAACCUAUGGCCUUCAGGGCCUCUAAAAUAUUCAAAACCCAGCCUUAUUCAUGAUUGUCACUAAACAAUUAAACUAAUUCUAUAGAGGGAAAAUAAGGGAUGAAGCAGAAAGUGACGAAGCUAAAAGAACAAGAGUAUGCUCACCUCUUCGGGUGCAGCAAAACAGGGACCCGAGCUAUCAGCCGAAUUUGUCACCACUAGGAAACAAUCCUUCGGGGACUCUAACCCAAAUUGUCAGCUUCAAAAUUUUCUAGCUAAAUCGACAGCUUCAAAGUUUCCAUUUUUACUCAACUAAAAAAAGACUUUUACUGAUUUUUUGCCCUAAAUCGAUUUUCCCCCUUCAAGACCUUAAUGGUGAAUUUUUCGCUCUUUUACGACUUCCCUUAAAAUUUUGAAACCCCCUAAAAGAAUGAAAACCAAAAAAAAAAUCCUCCUGGAGAAAGGAAGAACCCCUUUAUCGACCAAAAACUUCAAACCCUAGAGAAUAUCGUGACCUCCCAUUCUUCUCCCCUCUUGAACAAAGAACGAAGGUCCUCUUAUAUAGAGGACAAAAUUGGGGCCUUCCAUAUUUGAAAUAAGGAAACCCUCAGAUCUCAAAUUCCCCAAAAUAUUCUCCUCCCAACCCCGUCUCUUAUCCUUGAUCGUAUCCUUUUGGAUUUUUCUGAGAAAUUUGUGACGGGUGGACCAAUAGGGUUUGGGAAAAAUUCAUCCUUUUCAAGAACCAAUGGAAAGUGUACCAAUAUAUACGAAAUAGUACCAUUCCAACCGAGAAACGCGGUAUUGAGCCAUGGGAGAGGCCACCUAACCUUGUUUCUAGAAGAUUUGAGGCUUCUCCUCGUACAAAUGUUGCGUGAAAUGCGUGUGCAGAGAGAAAAAAUACUGAUGGGCUAGGGUUGAGUCGAUUCGAAAACGGGUUGGAGGCGGAUUAAGGGUCGGGUUUGCUAUGAGUUGUUC